UUGAGUGUGAACCGUAGAGCUAACGGCUUAGCUUUAAAUACCAAAUGAACAACCCAUCUUCAUCACAGUCAUAAUCCACCAAUCAUGAAGUUGACACUGCUUUUGGUUCUGGUUAUCAUGAUCGUCGUUGUGCAGAUCUCAUCCAAUGAGGACGUCCAGACAAGUUUCUUCAAUGCGAUCAAUAAAUACGUGCAAGCCAAUAGGAACCGCCGUCAGGCAUUCGGAGCUAUGGGACUUGAUCAAAUUUUCAACACGAUGAAAUCGUUCCAACCUUCAUUAGGGAAGGUUGAAAAAUGAUAGAAACUUGAAUAAAAUAAAGUAAAUGAAGUUAUGAGCCAUUUUUACAUAGAAA
Molecule: long non-coding RNA, 352 nt
Organism: Aedes aegypti (yellow fever mosquito)
Lineage: Eukaryota; Metazoa; Arthropoda; Insecta; Diptera; Culicidae
Exons: 2
Source: RefSeq, a predicted model, not a curated record